This is a long non-coding RNA of Nematostella vectensis (starlet sea anemone), 1294 nucleotides long. RefSeq lists it as uncharacterized. Lineage: Eukaryota; Metazoa; Cnidaria; Anthozoa; Actiniaria; Edwardsiidae. The record is from RefSeq and is a predicted model, not a curated record. The transcript has 2 exons.
AAACACAAGAGAGCCAAUGCGGAUGAAUACAGAGAAUGUAUGAACAUUCUCACAAAAAUUAGGUUUAUGAUGAGGUCCAAAAUCUUGUGACAGAGUUGACAGUUCUGGUAACUUAUAUUCAAUUUAUUCAUGAAUAGUAGUUAUAAUUUUCCUAUGAUAGAUGGUGAAUGGCAGAUUUAGGGAUCGAAUUUGAUAAAUACAGCCUAGAAUAUUUAUUCCCUGAGGUAAGUACUUAAAGUAAAUUAAAUUCAACAAUGAAAAAGGUGUUUAAAGGGGAACUGCAAGCUAAAUACAACCAGGACUCGUAUUUAGAUGUAAAAACAAAAAAAUACGCUUACUGUAGGUGUUUUCGCGCGGUUAUAAUUCGUUUUCGAGAAAUUCGACGUUUCGCCGCCAUCUUGGAUGUUUUGCUCGUUAGCGCAUAAACUGUCAGCGGUCGCUUUUGUGACGUACUGUAUGAACAAGAUGGCGUGGUCUACGUUGCUCUUUGGCAUUACCGCUGAAACUUUGUUGCAGCCAUUUGUUUUCGUCUCAUUUCACGUUGCAUCAAACAACCUCACGUUGAAUCAUUCAAGCUCGAAACUAUGCAAGAGCAAGCAUAUCACAACCAAAUCACAAUGGAUCUGAGGAAUCGGUGUACAUAGUGAUGCUCUAAAAAUGAAGAAUCAAGCUAGUGACUUAAAAUACUAUUGUACAAACAGUCCAUUUUAUUUGUUCAUUUUGGUGGCAGUCACAAUGUGAUGUGCUGCUUAUCAUUUUCUGGAAUGUGGUUGAUGACUGCAUUCCCCACCUCUGGAUGAUAAAAGUCCAAUCAAAUGUUACCAAAUGUUACCAGUAUAUGAGAAUGUUUGAAUGCAAGGAUUACACUGAUGAAGAACCUAAAAAGAAUAACUUCAUGCUUCACACCUGCUAUAUAUGUGAGUCUACAUUCAUUUUGACUAUGUGGAAUAUACUGAGUUGUUUCAAUCAAAUUGCAAAUAUCUGAAUCUAGGGUUAUGGGUCAGUGUUAGACUUUUACUUGAACACAAUCAAUAUCAAUCAUUAAUAGAUUGGGCAAAAAGAUCAACCCUUUUAGUUUUCUAUGGACAGAAGCAUGUUGGCACCACACACUGCCAAUAUCUGAACUAGUUUUUAUAUGAUUUUGUAUAGUGUACCCCUUGCCUGUAGCCUGGAGUGUGUCAAUGAGGGGGAGGUGGUUGUUGGAUUGGGGCUGCAAUUCCCUUGGAAAUGUACUAAUGCUCAGCAGAAAUCUGAUAUUAAUUUUUUUGUGGAACCAAUAAAUGGCAGAAAUAGA